This 215-nucleotide ribosomal RNA is filed under the name Glomeromycotina sp. RNAcentral describes it as "partial small subunit ribosomal RNA". The stretch from base 40 to 215 matches the Rfam family "Eukaryotic small subunit ribosomal RNA", at positions 686 to 864 of the family's 1831-position model. Lineage: Eukaryota; Fungi; Glomeromycota. The record is from RNAcentral.
GGGUCAGUAGGUUGGUCGUGCCACCGGUACGUACUGGUCUCACUGAUUCCUCCUUCCUGAAGAACCGUAAUGCCAUUAAUUUGGUGUUGCGGGGAAACAGGACUGUUACUUUGAAAAAAUUAGAGUGUUUAAAGCAAGCUAACGCCUGAAUACAUAGCAUGGAAUAAUGAAAUAGGACGAUCGAUCCUAUUUUGUUGGUUUCUAGGAUUGACGUA